UUGAAAGGGAAACGAUUGAAGUCAGUCGUGCUGGCGCGAAAUCAACCUUCUCGUCUUGAGAUCACAUGGCGUGGCGAGCCUCAAAACCGUCACGAAGCGUGAACUCUUGGUGAAAUGGAGCACUUUCGUGUCCGCUGGUUAACAUCAAUUUCGAACGUCAUAAAAAGGCUGGAGGGAUGUGGCUCCUUCGGGAGUGUUAUAACCUUUAGCGGAAUGUGGUGUUCGGGAUUGAGGAUUGCAACGAAUACCUUUAGGGCUGUUCCACCUGGCUUCUCUUUGGUAUCCCGGUGACGACAGCUUGCUGACGUCGUUAGGAUUCGCCUUUGAACAGGCUAGAGUGUGAGCAAAUUCGUUAAGGAUGUUGACGUA
RNAcentral lists this ribosomal RNA (369 nucleotides) under uncultured Glomeromycotina. RNAcentral describes it as "LSU rRNA". Lineage: Eukaryota; Fungi; Glomeromycota. The record is from RNAcentral.